GGUGGUAUAGCUCAGUGGUAUCAGUGGUAGAGUGUACGCCUAGCAUGCUUGAGGUCCUGGGUUCAAUCCCCAAUACCACCA
RNAcentral lists this transfer RNA (81 nucleotides) under Camelus bactrianus (Bactrian camel). It matches the Rfam family "tRNA". From Rfam's summary of the family: Transfer RNA (tRNA) molecules are approximately 80 nucleotides in length. Their secondary structure includes four short double-helical elements and three loops (D, anti-codon, and T loops). RNAcentral also lists the same sequence under 2 other names. The record is from Rfam by way of RNAcentral. Lineage: Eukaryota; Metazoa; Chordata; Mammalia; Artiodactyla; Camelidae.